CAUGCCCAGUACUUGCCAACAAUGUGUAACAGAGACGUGACCGAUCGCCCAAGCGGCUAACAAGCCGAUCAGUGGUGAAGAGGAUAAAAGAAAAGUAAAAGAACAUGUAGGUAAUAAGAGCCAGUACAGCUGUAAAAUGGGAAGAGACGUCAUUCAGUUCCUACUGUCGUUGGCGACUGCGGCGUCGGCAAUGCAGUGUUGCACCGGUGUGUUUUUCUAUUUGUUACUCUGUUUAAAAUCCCAGGUUACGUUUAUGGAGAUUAUAUAUGGCAAUUACUAAAGGCGUUCCCGAAUUAUACAUUUUGGGUAAAAAAAAAUGUGCCACAAUGAAAUGGUUGCAUUGUAUACUAACGAUGGUGUUACUUCGUAGUUGUAAGGUUUGAGAAGUUGAUUUGUCGGUCUACCUAAAUGAGUCGUGAUU
Molecule: long non-coding RNA, 421 nt
Organism: Homarus americanus (American lobster)
Lineage: Eukaryota; Metazoa; Arthropoda; Malacostraca; Decapoda; Nephropidae
Exons: 2
Source: RefSeq, a predicted model, not a curated record